Long non-coding RNA from Anopheles arabiensis, 589 nucleotides. RefSeq lists it as uncharacterized. The transcript is spliced from 2 exons. The record is from RefSeq and is a predicted model, not a curated record. Lineage: Eukaryota; Metazoa; Arthropoda; Insecta; Diptera; Culicidae.
GUUCUCUACGCUCACGACAGUGUGCGCUGCUCUUGCUCAGUAAAGUUAGGCAUGUUUGCCCCGCUUCGCAAAGGGACGACCGUUUUCUUCGCAGCUCCACAUUGGGAGUUGGGGAGAGAUUCGAUCAUCUCCUACCACCUGUCCAGCAACAGCACCACCUUGGGACUUUUCACGACGAGCCACACAGUACGACGAUCGACGAAUUCACCCCUUUAAUCUACACACCGCGGCCAAAACCCGACACAUGCCAUGCAAAAGCGCACAAGUACCCGCAGGCUACGAAAGAUAUUCCCACAGCACCCUUUUCGAAAGGUCAACGAACAAACUGGCACUGGCACAUUUUUCAGCCACUGUUAUGUCUGCAGAACACGAACGAAGAAAAAUGCCCCUCGUAAUACCAACCACUGUCACACGACUGCUUCGAUCCUCCGGGCAGCAAACACCACCUUUCGCGACGCCUUCUGGACACACUGGCACAGUAUGACUUGGAGCACAGCACCGUCGCCUAUCGAUGGGUAAAACUGCACCAGUUUCGGCCGGAAGCACGGAGUGCGGGACCGGAAAGCGCUUCAAUGGCGGCAAAGAAAAA